This 75-nucleotide transfer RNA is filed under the name Marseillevirus LCMAC103. RNAcentral describes it as "tRNA-Glu". It matches the Rfam family "tRNA". From Rfam's summary of the family: Transfer RNA (tRNA) molecules are approximately 80 nucleotides in length. Their secondary structure includes four short double-helical elements and three loops (D, anti-codon, and T loops). Lineage: Varidnaviria; Bamfordvirae; Nucleocytoviricota; Megaviricetes; Pimascovirales; Marseilleviridae. The record is from RNAcentral.
UCCGCUGUAGUGUAGCCUGGUCCAGCACGCCGCGGUUUCAUCGCGGGAACCCGGGUUCAAAUCCCGGCAGCGGAU